GGGGAUGUAGCUCAGCGGUAGAGUGCUUGCCUAGCAAGCACAAGGCCCUGGGUUCGGUCCCCAGCUCCA
Molecule: transfer RNA, 69 nt
Filed under: Rattus norvegicus (Norway rat)
Lineage: Eukaryota; Metazoa; Chordata; Mammalia; Rodentia; Muridae
Rfam family: tRNA
About the family: Transfer RNA (tRNA) molecules are approximately 80 nucleotides in length. Their secondary structure includes four short double-helical elements and three loops (D, anti-codon, and T loops). Further hydrogen bonds mediate the characteristic L-shaped molecular structure. tRNAs have two regions of fundamental functional importance: the anti-codon, which is responsible for specific mRNA codon recognition, and the 3' end, to which the tRNAs corresponding amino acid is attached (by aminoacyl-tRNA synthetases). tRNAs cope with the degeneracy of the genetic code in two manners: having more than one tRNA (with a specific anti-codon) for a particular amino acid; and 'wobble' base-pairing, i.e. permitting non-standard base-pairing at the 3rd anti-codon position.
Source: Rfam by way of RNAcentral